RNAcentral lists this transfer RNA (74 nucleotides) under Candidatus Woesebacteria bacterium. RNAcentral's name for it is "tRNA-Val". It matches the Rfam family "tRNA". Rfam says of the family: Transfer RNA (tRNA) molecules are approximately 80 nucleotides in length. The record is from RNAcentral. Lineage: Bacteria; Candidatus Woeseibacteriota.
GGUCUCGUAGCUCAGUUGGUUAGAGCGUUCGGUUUACAUCCGAAAGGUCAUAGGUUCAAAUCCUAUCGGGACCA